AUUUAAAUAUAUAUACAAAGCAGAUCUUCUUCACCAGGAAAAGCUGAUGGACAGUCAUCUGAAAACCAGCAGAGGAAUUCACUGUGGACACGUCUUGGUAAGACAAUCCUUCAGCUAAUGCCUGAAUGAAGCGCACCAAGACACUGGUAAUUGAGCAUGGAGUUCAUCUGAAGUAACUUUCCUAUGGAAAUUGGUGUGGGCAGUCACUGGAAGAAAGAUGCUUCUUUGAGAGUCGGUUUCCUGUUGUUUCCACAUGAGGACAGAGUGCUGGAAGUCAUUUAUUGCUUCUGGUCCAGGACACAGGGUGAUCGCCUGCAGCGAUGAGGAAGGAACCAACUGUAAGUGCAUUGCAGUUCUACAUAAGUAGCUACAUUUCAGCUGUCACUGAAAAAAUUAUGCCUCUGAAAGUUCUGAAAAGUUGGAAAAUGUCUGUUUAUAGGAUACAGUACUAGAAUCUUGCUUGGCAUGGCAAGCAACGUACUGUGGUUUUCUGGUUUGAAAAUAAUGGUCCUUAAGUAGCCCUACAGCCAUCCUGUUCCAUCUCCCCCCUCUUACCCAACUGAUCUCCACGUUUAUUCCCCUUGCUGCAAGACAAA
Molecule: long non-coding RNA, 596 nt
Filed under: Anas platyrhynchos platyrhynchos (common mallard)
Lineage: Eukaryota; Metazoa; Chordata; Aves; Anseriformes; Anatidae
Description: lncRNA (ENSAPLG00000031015.1)
Source: RNAcentral